GAUGAACGCUGGCGGCGUGCCUAAUACAUGCAAGUCGAGCGAACAGACGAGGAGCUUGCUCCCCUGACGUUAGCGGCGGACGGGUGAGUAACACGUGGAUAACCUACCUAUAAGACUGGGAUAACUUCGGGAAACCGGAGCUAAUACCGGAUAAUAUAUUGAACCGCAUGGUUCAAUAGUGAAAGACGGUUUUGCUGUCACUUAUAGAUGGAUCCGCGCCGCAUUAGCUAGUUGGUAAGGUAACGGCUUACCAAGGCAACGAUGCGUAGCCGACCUGAGAGGGUGAUCGGCCACACUGGAACUGAGACACGGUCCAGACACCUACGGGAGGCAGCAGUAGGGAAUCUUCCGCAAUGGGCGAAAGCCUGACGGAGCAACGCCGCGUGAGUGAUGAAGGUCUUCGGAUCGUAAAACUCUGUUAUUAGGGAAGAACAAAUGUGUAAGUAACUAUGCACGUCUUGACGGUACCUAAUCAGAAAGCCACGGCUAACUACGUG
Molecule: ribosomal RNA, 497 nt
Filed under: uncultured bacterium
Lineage: Bacteria
Description: partial 16S ribosomal RNA
Rfam family: Bacterial small subunit ribosomal RNA
Source: RNAcentral